This 260-nucleotide ribosomal RNA is filed under the name Citrobacter farmeri. RNAcentral describes it as "partial 16S ribosomal RNA". It matches the Rfam family "Bacterial small subunit ribosomal RNA", at positions 1 to 257 of the family's 1533-position model. The record is from RNAcentral. Lineage: Bacteria; Pseudomonadati; Pseudomonadota; Gammaproteobacteria; Enterobacterales; Enterobacteriaceae.
AAAUUGAAGAGUUUGAUCAUGGCUCAGAUUGAACGCUGGCGGCAGGCCUAACACAUGCAAGUCGAACGGUAACAGGAAGCAGCUUGCUGCUUUGCUGACGAGUGGCGGACGGGUGAGUAAUGUCUGGGAAACUGCCCGAUGGAGGGGGAUAACUACUGGAAACGGUAGCUAAUACCGCAUAAUGUCGCAAGACCAAAGAGGGGGACCUUCGGGCCUCUUGCCAUCGGAUGUGCCCAGAUGGGAUUAGCUUGUUGGUGAGG